RNAcentral lists this ribosomal RNA (497 nucleotides) under uncultured bacterium. RNAcentral describes it as "partial 16S ribosomal RNA". It matches the Rfam family "Bacterial small subunit ribosomal RNA", at positions 28 to 507 of the family's 1533-position model. The record is from RNAcentral.
GAUGAACGCUGGCGGCGUGCCUAAUACAUGCAAGUCGAGCGAACAGAUGAGGAGCUUGCUCCUCUGACGUUAGCGGCGGACGGGUGAGUAACACGUGGAUAACCUACCUAUAAGACUGGGAUAACUUCGGGAAACCGGAGCUAAUACCGGAUAAUAUAUUGAACCGCAUGGUUCAAUAGUGAAAGACGGUUUUGCUGUCACUUAUAGAUUGAUCCGCGCCGCAUUAGCUAGUUGGUAAGGUAACGGCUUACCAAGGCAACGAUGCGUAGCCGACCUGAGCGGGUGAUCGGCCAGACUGGAACUGAGAAACGGUCCAGACUCCUACGGGAGGAAGCAGUAGGGAAUCUUCCGCAAUGGGCGAAAGCCGGACGGAGCAACGCCGCGUGAGUGAUGAAGGUCUUCGGAUCGUAAAACUCUGUUAUUAGGGAAGAACAAAUGUGUAAGUAACUAUGCACGUCUUGACGGUACCUAAUCAGAAAGCCACGGCUAACUACGUG